GAGUUUGAUCUUGGCUCAGAUUGAACGCUGGCGGCAUGCCUUACACAUGCAAGUCGAACGGCAGCACGGGAGCUUGCUCCUGGUGGCGAGUGGCGAACGGGUGAGUAAUGCAUCGGAACGUAUCCUGGAGUGGGGGAUAACGUAGCGAAAGUUACGCUAAUACCGCAUAUUCUGUGAGCAGGAAAGCGGGGGACCUUCGGGCCUCGCGCUCUUGGAGCGGCCGAUGUCGGAUUAGCUAGUUGGUGAGGUAAAGGCUCACCAAGGCGACGAUCCGUAGCAGGUCUGAGAGGAUGAUCUGCCACACUGGAACUGAGACACGGUCCAGACUCCUACGGGAGGCAGCAGUGGGAAUUUUGGACAAUGGGGGCAACCCUGAUCCAGCCAUGCCGCGUGAGUGAAGAAGGCCUCGGUU
This 412-nucleotide ribosomal RNA is filed under the name bacterium enrichment culture clone ALO1_GLFRUDD03F4UYA. RNAcentral's name for it is "bacterial SSU rRNA". It matches the Rfam family "Bacterial small subunit ribosomal RNA", at positions 9 to 424 of the family's 1533-position model. RNAcentral also lists the same sequence under 4 other names. The record is from RNAcentral.